This is a long non-coding RNA of Xenopus tropicalis (tropical clawed frog), 603 nucleotides long. RefSeq lists it as uncharacterized. The transcript is spliced from 2 exons. Lineage: Eukaryota; Metazoa; Chordata; Amphibia; Anura; Pipidae. The record is from RefSeq and is a predicted model, not a curated record.
AAUGACCUAUAACACAUGUUGACCAUUUUCUAUGGAAAGCGCUUGUUUUCUUAAUAAACGCUUCUUAAGAUCCAGGAGCCGACUGUCAGCCAAGCACGACUGUCUCUAUUAAGCCUGUCAGUCAAAGCAGGAGCAGGGCUGACGUCAGUCUCACAAAGAUCCUCCUCCUUUCCUUUUCCCUUACUUUGAGAAGCGUCAUCAAUCAUGUGACCCUGCCGUGAUCUUGGUGUCUUCUCUCGAGACUUCACACUGCCAAGUGCUGACUGCCUGUACCUACGCAUGACCGGUUACAGAACUUUUACAGUUUGGGUACAUGACUUCCUGGGGAAAAAAAACCGGAGACCGAUUCCCUCUUGUGUUGUCACAGCUAUACGCACAGCUUUCCCGGAUUCCCACAAUCUGUAUCGUGGUUUUAUCCCUUUGGAGGAUUAUGCUGCAGUUAAUAUGGCUCAAGACUUGGACUUUGUAUUAUUGUAGUACCUUUUACAAAUCCUUUUCCCGUGUGUUUUGUAAUAAAAAUUAUAUAUUUGCAAAAUAUAAACUAAAAGGGCCCUGCUUUUUCAAAGCCUACUGAAACAAUAAAAGUGAUUUUGUUUUCAAAAA